Molecule: long non-coding RNA, 228 nt
Filed under: Hordeum vulgare
Lineage: Eukaryota; Viridiplantae; Streptophyta; Magnoliopsida; Poales; Poaceae
Description: long non-coding RNA (HVUL_LNC019085)
Source: RNAcentral
UCAAGGUAGAAGUAGCAACAUAAAAUAAUUACAAUUACACUUCUCUGAACUUCAUUUAAAUGCAAACAUAGGUCUUGCUAUGAACAUGAAAAUGUCUCUCUAUAUGAUUCCUCUAGCGGUAUACAAGGAGAACAAUGAUCUAGCAUAGCAAUGUCUAUAAUGAAAAAUGGCAUGGCCGAAUGAACACAUGGUCCUAACUAUGAUGAUCAUGCAAAACAUAUCACAAUG